RNAcentral lists this ribosomal RNA (558 nucleotides) under Metopograpsus messor. RNAcentral's name for it is "partial 12S ribosomal RNA". The record is from RNAcentral. Lineage: Eukaryota; Metazoa; Arthropoda; Malacostraca; Decapoda; Grapsidae.
UAAAUGAAAUUUAUUAGAGUUAGUUAGGCGGAAUAUAUCAAAGGUAUUAUUAAUGAUAAAGGGUGAAAUCAGAUUAUUAUUGAAUAAUAAAAGAAUAUUGAAGCUGAAGCUAAGAAAGUCUAAGUAAAAACUAGGAUUAGAUACCCUAUUAUUUUAGAAUUUAAUAUUAUACAACUCUAGACAAGUAGUAGAUAAAUACUUAAAAAUUAAAAAAUUUGGCGGUGAUUUAAUCUGUUCAGAGGAACUUGUUUUUUAAUCGAUAAACCACGUUAAAUCUUACUUGUCUUAGUAGAUCAGUAUGUAUACCAUCAUUAACAGGUAAUUUUAAAAAGAAACAAUUGCUGAAAAUAAUUGAUUAAAAAAAUUAGAUCAUGGUGCAGCUUAUAGACAAGGUAAAAUGAGUUACAAUAAAGUAUUUUAGAUGAAUUAAUGGAGGAAGAUGUUCAUUAUAAAGGUGGAUUUGAUUGUAAGUGUGGAUUAAUAAGCUUAUCUGAUAUUGGUGCUAAAUCAUGUACAUAUCGCCCGUCGCUUUCGCUAACCGAAAUAAGUCGUAACAUA